CCUACGGGUGACAGCAGUGAGGAAUAUUGGUCAAUGGGCGGGAGCCUGAACCAGCCAAGUCGCGUGAGGGAAGACGGUCCUACGGAUUGUAAACCUCUUUUGCCGGGGAGCAACGGGGUCUUUGCGAGGGACCAAUGAGAGUACCCGGAGAAAAAGCAUCGGCUAACUCCGGGCCAGCAGCCGCGGUAAUACGGAGGACGCGAGCGUUAUCCGGAUUUAUUGGGUUUAAAGGGUGCGUAGGCGGACUGUUAGGUCAGCGGUAAAAUGUCGGGGCUCAACCCCGGCCUGCCGUUGAAACUGGCGGCCUCGAGUGGGCGAGAAGUAGGCGGAAGGCGUGGUGUAGCGGUGAAAUGCAUAGAUAUCACGCAGAACUCCGAUUGCGAAGGCAGCAUGCCGGCGCCCUACUGACGCUGAGGCACGAAAGCGUGGGUAUCGAACAGGAUUAGAUACCCGGGUAGUC
This 460-nucleotide ribosomal RNA is filed under the name uncultured bacterium. RNAcentral's name for it is "partial 16S ribosomal RNA". It matches the Rfam family "Bacterial small subunit ribosomal RNA", at positions 338 to 795 of the family's 1533-position model. The record is from RNAcentral.